Molecule: small nucleolar RNA, 115 nt
Filed under: Myotis davidii
Lineage: Eukaryota; Metazoa; Chordata; Mammalia; Chiroptera; Vespertilionidae
Source: RNAcentral
AAUAGACACCACACAGCUGCUGCGGUCAAAAAAGGAGCCCAGAGUGACAGUUUUCCUUGACGGUCACUGUUCUGUUUGCUGUAACCGAUCUGCAACAUUUCAGGAAAAGACAGCU